RNAcentral lists this ribosomal RNA (253 nucleotides) under uncultured bacterium. RNAcentral's name for it is "partial 16S ribosomal RNA". It matches the Rfam family "Bacterial small subunit ribosomal RNA", at positions 524 to 776 of the family's 1533-position model. The record is from RNAcentral.
UACGUAGGGGGCAAGCGUUGUCCGGAAUUACUGGGCGUAAAGCGCGUGUAGGCGGCCCUGCAAGUCGGAUGUGAAAUCCCACGGCUCAACCGUGGAAGUGCAUUCGAAACUGCAGGGCUAGAGUCCUGGAGAGGAAGGUGGAAUGCUUGGUGUAGAGGUGAAAUUCGUAGAUAUCAAGCGGAACACCGGUGGCGAAGGCGGCUUUCUGGACGACAACUGACGCUGAGACGCGAAAGCGUGGGGAGCAAACAGG